UUGAACUGAAGAGUUUGAUCCUGGCUCAGAUUGAACGCUGGCGGCAUGCCUUACACAUGCAAGUCGAACGGCAGCACGGGCUUCGGCCUGGUGGCGAGUGGCGAACGGGUGAGUAAUACAUCGGAACAUGUCCUGUAGUGGGGGAUAGCCCGGCGAAAGCCGGAUUAAUACCGCAUACGAUCUACGGAUGAAAGCGGGGGACCUUCGGGCCUCGCGCUAUAGGGUUGGCCGAUGGCUGAUUAGCUAGUUGGUGGGGUAAAGGCCUACCAAGGCGACGAUCAGUAGCUGGUCUGAGAGGACGACCAGCCACACUGGGACUGAGACACGGCCCAGACUCCUACGGGAGGCAGCAGUGGGGAAUUUUGGACAAUGGGGGCAACCCUGAUCCAGCAAUGCCGCGUGUGU
RNAcentral lists this ribosomal RNA (405 nucleotides) under Burkholderia ubonensis. Its description in RNAcentral is "bacterial SSU rRNA". It matches the Rfam family "Bacterial small subunit ribosomal RNA", at positions 1 to 406 of the family's 1533-position model. The record is from RNAcentral. Lineage: Bacteria; Pseudomonadati; Pseudomonadota; Betaproteobacteria; Burkholderiales; Burkholderiaceae.